AAAGCUGGGGGAGCAAACCGGAUUAGAUACCCGGGUAGUCCCAGCUGUAAACGAUGCAGACUCGAUGAUGCAUUGGCAUAAUAGCCAGUGCAGUGUCGCAGGGAAGCCGUUAAGUCUGCCGCCUGGGAAGUACGUACGCAAGUAUGAAACUUAAAGGAAUUGGCGGGGGAGCACCACAAGGGGUGAAGCCUGCGGUUCAAUUGGAGUCAACGCCAGAAAUCUUACCCGGAGAGACAGCAGAAUGAAGGUCAAGCUGAAGACUUUACCAGACAAGCUGAGAGGUGGUGCAUGGCCGUCGCCAGCUCGUGCCGUGAGAUGUCCUGUUAAGUCAGGUAACGAGCGAGAUCCCUGCCACUAGUUGCUAUCAUUAUUCUCAGGAAUAGUGGGGCGAAUUAGUGGGACUGCCGUUGUUAAAACGGAGGAAGGAAGGGGCUACGGCAGGUCAGUAUGCCCCGAAACUCUGGGGCCACACGCGGGCUGCAAUGGUAGUGACAAUGAGUUCCAAACUCGAAAGAGAGUGGCAAUCUCUAAACGCUACCACAGUUAUGACUGAGGGCUGUAACUCGCCCUCACGAAUAUGGAAUCCCUAGUAACCGCGUGUCAUUACCGCGCGGUGAAUACGUCCCUGCUCCUU
This 634-nucleotide ribosomal RNA is filed under the name uncultured crenarchaeote. RNAcentral's name for it is "bacterial SSU rRNA". It matches the Rfam family "Archaeal small subunit ribosomal RNA", at positions 707 to 1338 of the family's 1478-position model. The record is from RNAcentral. Lineage: Archaea; Thermoproteati; Thermoproteota.